AGGAGAAGGGAGGGCAAUUGGAUGCCUUUUUCUAUUCUGAUAGGCCUAAGAGGAAGGGAUUAAGGAUCCUCUGACCAAAAUAUCAUGUAUGUCAAAACGUCAUCAUAGUGCUAUGCCUUGAUAAGAACCCAUGCAAAUAUGAGUGUUGGAAACUCCUUGAAGUUCUUUAUUGGAAACUCUUCUCAGUUACCUGUAAGGAAAGGAACUGACUCAGUGUGAAAGCCACCAACCUUUCAUCAGCCUUUCUCUGGAUGCUUCAUCUUCUGUAGCUUGGUGCUGGGAGCUACAGCCCUACAGGCAUCUCACUGCCUGAUGCUCAGUGAGGGAGGAGAAGGUGCAUAUACAAAGAAGAUGCAUCUGAAAAAUUGGAUGGGAAAAGAAUAAGUUAUAAGUUCAUCCUACAGAAUUUUGGAAAAAAACAAAAAGCUGCUUUUCCUUCCAACUUUAAUUAAGGGUGGCAUGUAAUUUUAAGCUUAUCAUGUACUAAUAAUGAGGUUUCUUUAAAAAGUUCAUCUUGUUGGAAAUCCAGCC
Molecule: long non-coding RNA, 531 nt
Filed under: Canis lupus familiaris (dog)
Lineage: Eukaryota; Metazoa; Chordata; Mammalia; Carnivora; Canidae
Description: lncRNA (ENSCAFG00000038544.3, ENSCAFG00805020266.1, ENSCAFG00845009562.1)
Source: RNAcentral